GCCUGGCCCUAAAUCUUGAUGCUCGAUCUAACCGGAGCAUCCGCCCGAGAACUACGAGCACAAACGCUUAAAACUCUAAGGACUUGGCGGUGUUCCAAAUCCACCUAGAGGAGCCUGUUCUGUAAUCGAUGAUCCACGAUGCACCUGACCAUUCCUUGCCCAGAACAGCCUAUAUACCGCCGUCUCCAGCCCACCCCGCAUGAAGGUUCAACAGUGGACGCAAUAGCCAAACCGCGCUAACAAGACAGGUCAAGGUAUAGCCUAUGGAAUGGAAGCAAUGGGCUACAUUUUCUAGAUUAGAACACAACGGCAAAGGCGCAUGAAACUGCACCUAGAAGGAGGAUUUAGCAGUAAAGAGAGAUUAGAGAGCUCUCUUUAAGCCGGCUCUGGAGCACGU
This 397-nucleotide ribosomal RNA is filed under the name Apalopteron familiare (Bonin honeyeater). RNAcentral's name for it is "partial 12S ribosomal RNA". It matches the Rfam family "Bacterial small subunit ribosomal RNA", at positions 794 to 1384 of the family's 1533-position model. Lineage: Eukaryota; Metazoa; Chordata; Aves; Passeriformes; Zosteropidae. The record is from RNAcentral.